Molecule: ribosomal RNA, 493 nt
Filed under: Ptychohyla hypomykter (Copan stream frog)
Lineage: Eukaryota; Metazoa; Chordata; Amphibia; Anura; Hylidae
Description: partial 16S ribosomal RNA
Rfam family: Bacterial large subunit ribosomal RNA
Source: RNAcentral
CGAAGGUAGCGUAAUCACUUGUCCUUUAAAUAAGGACUAGUAUGAAUGGCACCACGAGGGUUAUACUGUCUCCUUUUUCCAAUCAGUAAACCUAAUCUCCCCGUGAAGAAGCGGGGAUAAAACUAUAAGACGAGAAGACCCUAUGGAGCUUUAAACUAAGUAACAACUGCUUAUUCAUCACACAUUUCAGUAAUGCUAAUAAUUAUUCUAGCCACAUGUUUACUGGUUUUAGGUUGGGGUGACCACGGAGUAUAAAACAACCUCCAUAUUGAAUGGAAUUUAAUUCCUGAGUUAAGGGUUACAGCCCUAAACACCUACAAAUUGACAUUAAUUGACCCAAUAUUUUGACCAACGAACCAAGUUACCCUAGGGAUAACAGCGCAAUCCGCUUAAAGAGCUCCUAUCGACAAGCGGGUUUACGACCUCGAUGUUGGAUCAGGGUGUCCCAGUGGUGCAGCCGCUACUAAAGGUUCGUUUGUUCAACGAUUAAAAC